CUUUUCGAGGUAGGAGUCGACUCCUGUGAGGUAUGGUGCUGGGUGCAGAUGCAGUGUGGCUCUGGAUAGCACCUUAUGGACAGUUGUGUCCCCAAGGAAGGAUGAGAAUAGCUACUGAAGUAAGUUGAAAAUUCCCUCUCAAAAAGGUUUAAAGCCAUUGGAUGUGCCACAAUGAUGACAGUUUAUUUGCUACUCUUGAGUGCUAGAAUGAUGAGGAUCUUAACCACCAUUAUCUUAACUGAGGCACCCAAAAUGGUGAGUUGGGGAACAUAGAGAGUACACCUAAGUUCACAUGAAGUUGUUUCUUCCCAGGUCCUAAAGAGCAAGCCUAACUCAAGCCAUUGGCACACAGGCAUUAGACAGAAAGCUGGAAGUUGAAAUGGUGGAGUCCAACUUGCCUGGACCAGCUUAAUGGUUCUGCUCCUGGUAACGUUUUUAUCCAUGGAUGACUUGCUUGGGUAAGGACAUGAAGACAGUUCCUGUCAUACCUUUUAAAGGUAUGGAGAGUCGGCUUGACUACACUGUGUGGAGCAAGUUUUAAAGAAGCAAAGGACUCAGAAUUCAUGAUUGAAGAAAUGCAGGCAGACCUGUUAUCCUAAACUAGGGUUUUUAAUGACCACAACAAGCAAGCAUGCAGCUUACUGCUUGAAAGGGUCUUGCCUCACCCAAGCUAGAGUGCAGUGGCCUUUGAAGCUUACUACAGCCUCAAACUUCUGGGCUCAAGUGAUCCUCAGCCUCCCAGUGGUCUUUGUAGACUGCCUGAUGGAGUCUCAUGGCACAAGAAGAUUAAAACAGUGUCUCCAAUUUUAAUAAAUUUUUGCAAUCCA
Homo sapiens (human) is the source of this 827-nucleotide long non-coding RNA. Ensembl annotates it as growth arrest specific 5. Its record names the gene GAS5. NCBI's taxonomy places the organism in Eukaryota, Metazoa, Chordata, Mammalia, Primates, Hominidae. The record is from Ensembl.